Biomphalaria pfeifferi is the source of this 233-nucleotide non-coding RNA. NCBI's taxonomy places the organism in Eukaryota, Metazoa, Mollusca, Gastropoda, Planorbidae. The record is from the annotation of a GenBank genome assembly.
AUUGUGAAAAUAUUGUCAACUAAAAUUGACAUUUUAGAAACAAAGCAAAGAGAUUCUUGUCAAAUCAAUCCAUUUAUUACACUACUUUAGUACAUACAAUGCUAACACAAAAUUCUGACAAACAAUAAUAUCUAAGCUUGACAUUUACAGCUUUACAAUUAGUUGACAUUUGACCUAAACAGUUAAGACGCCAGCUCUCUUUAAAAAAAAAAAAAAAAAAAAAAAAAAAAAAC